Long non-coding RNA from Chelonia mydas (Green sea turtle), 188 nucleotides. RefSeq lists it as uncharacterized. The record is from RefSeq and is a predicted model, not a curated record. Lineage: Eukaryota; Metazoa; Chordata; Testudines; Cheloniidae. The transcript has 3 exons.
GGGGGGGGCUUUCUCCAGCUGGGACCAGCCCCGGGCUCUGCCCGCCCCCGCCCCGGCUGCAGAACGACGCUCACGUUUCGUUCCGGUUCAUCCCGUCCUCCCAUGGGUCAGGGGAGCGACAUGGCCGCAGAGGAGCCAGCUGAGGGGCCGGUGACCUUCGAGGAGGUGGCUGUGUAUUUCACCAGGGA